Molecule: unclassified non-coding RNA, 306 nt
Filed under: plant metagenome
Description: partial contains 5.8S ribosomal RNA, internal transcribed spacer 2, and large subunit ribosomal RNA
Rfam family: 5.8S ribosomal RNA (bases 1-105)
Source: RNAcentral
GAAAUGCGAUAAGUAGUGUGAAUUGCAGAAUUCAGUGAAUCAUCGAAUCUUUGAACGCACAUUGCGCCCCUUGGUAUUCCAUGGGGCAUGCCUGUUCGAGCGUCAUUUGUACCUUCAAGCUUUGCUUGGUGUUGGGUGUUUGUCUCGCCUCUGCGCGCAGACUCGCCUCAAAACAAUUGGCAGCCAGCGUAUUGAUUUCGGAGCGCAGUACAUCUCGCGCUUUGCACUCAUAACGACGACGUCCAAAAAGUACAUUUUUUACACUCUUGACCUCGGAUCAGGUAGGGAUACCCGCUGAACUUAAGC